GACGAACGCCGGCGGCGUGCUUAACACAUGCAAGUCGAACGGAAAGGCCCUGCUUUUGUGGGGUGCUCGAGUGGCGAACGGGUGAGUAACACGUGAGUAACCUGCCCUUGACUUUGGGAUAACUUCAGGAAACUGGGGCUAAUACCGGAUAGGAGCUCCUGCUGCAUGGUGGGGGUUGGAAAGUUUCGGCGGUUGGGGAUGGACUCGCGGCUUAUCAGCUUGUUGGUGGGGUAGUGGCUUACCAAGGCUUUGACGGGUAGCCGGCCUGAGAGGGUGACCGGCGACAUUGGGACUGAGAUACGGAACAGACUCCAACGGGAGGCAGCAGUGGGGAAUAUUGCACAAUGGGCGGAAGCCUGAUGCAGAAAAGCCGCGUGCGGGAUGACGGCCUUCGGGGUGUAAACCGCUGUCGCAUGUGACGAAGAGUGAGUGACGGUAAUGGGUAAAGAAGCAACGGCUAACUACGUG
RNAcentral lists this ribosomal RNA (468 nucleotides) under uncultured bacterium. RNAcentral's name for it is "partial 16S ribosomal RNA". It matches the Rfam family "Bacterial small subunit ribosomal RNA", at positions 28 to 507 of the family's 1533-position model. The record is from RNAcentral.